Molecule: long non-coding RNA, 2753 nt
Organism: Hordeum vulgare subsp. vulgare (domesticated barley)
Lineage: Eukaryota; Viridiplantae; Streptophyta; Magnoliopsida; Poales; Poaceae
Exons: 4
Source: RefSeq, a predicted model, not a curated record
UGCAUGUCGCCUGUAACGUUGUGGCGUGGGGAGAGAGACAGAGUGCCUCCCGUGUCUUUCACUUCUUGUCCCAAAAUGGGGGAGAGAAACAAAAUCUGAGCUGCCGGAGUGAUUUAGAGUGGCCGACAGCUCAAAGAGCUGCUGUAACAUCUGCAUCUGAAAACACGUCGUAACAGACAGCUGAAACUUUCCGGCUGUUCAAUGCGCCGUUACUCCCACUACUCCCUUGGUAACGAAGAAAUUAUAUUUCUUUACCGAGGGAGUACUAUUUUUGGGUUUCUUGCUUUGAACAAAUCAAUUGCUUCGUCCAGAAGUUUUUCCUGGAUCUACCAUUUCUCCUCCUCCUCCUCCUCUCCCUUUCUCUCUCUCUCAAUUGUUGAUCGAGAGAUAUUCAUUCUCCCCUUUCCUCGCAAAAGAAGAGAGAUAUUCAUUCUCCGCAUUCCCGAUCCGUUUGUUCGGAGAUGAUUGAUUCCCUCUCUCGAUUCAUCUGUCAAGGGAUAAUUCAGCGUCUCUCCAAUUCCAUUUCUUAACAGAUAGUCCAGCCUCUUGCUUCUUCUUCUUUUUUUUGCGAGGAAUCUUGCAUUCAUUUGUAGAGAGACAAUAAUUCAUCAUCUCCUCCCAUUCCAUUUGUACAAGGAUAAGAUAAUCCAUCAUCUCCUCUCAUUCCAUUUGCCGAGCGAUAAUACAUUCAUUGCCGCAUCGCAAAUAUGCAUCAAUACCAGGGCAGCUCUCAUCGCGACGGGGAAGAAGGAACUCCUGAGCCGAUGACGCCUCCGUCCAAGGAGGAGGAGGAAGAGGAGCCUCCUCGUAAGCCUCCGGUGUCCACAACAUGCUUCAUAUUAGGAUUUUUCGCUGCGCUAUGUUGCUGCUGCUUGGUUGACGAGCCGCUCAUGUGACACGCUUGUCUUGCGUGCUGUGCCGUGCCUUGUACAUACUGCGGGAAACAACAUGCUAUUAGAAAAUGUCUAUGGCCCGUGAAUGCCUUGCUUUCAUACUGAAAUUCGGAAAUUUCUCCUUGCACACAAGUGAUUGUUGGAACUAUAUAGGUCAGGGCUAUUGAACAAAUUCAAUAAUUUCUAGGUUGAACUUUAGCCCAUAUUGCUACUCGAAGCGGAGUUAGACCGACAUAUUUUUUGACAAAUUUCCUUCUACCGCUAAGAGUUUGAGAAGAACGUACAUACACGCGCAUUUACUACCGCCUUGCCUCUUUCAUGAACAAGAUUAGAUGGGCUCGAGCCCAUGACGAGCGUGUGCGUUGUCUUUUCUUUACUUUUGUGAUAGAAGUCGAAACAGAGCGAUUUUGUGGCCUGCAAUAACACUGAAGAGAGGAGAUAAAGGUUUUGGGGGAGGAGUCCUUCAUAAUUGUUAGGUUUAGUUUGGCGGAGCAUUCAAUCCAAGUGUGGGAAUCAUUUCGACUUCAUGUAUUUGUAUGGAUCACGUUCUACUACCUCCGGUUUGUGAUUCGACCUCCCGUAGAACAAGACUACUUCUUUUCCACAAGCAAACAACCACUCGUCUUGGGUUCAGCUGACUACUCGUUGAUUCGUCCACUUCCUUAACAUUGUCUACUUCGUCUUCAUUGCUUCAAAUGACUCCAAGGAUGUCACCAUGAGGCUGUUAUGAUCACUGCCAAUGUUGCUACCAAGGGUGCUUCUUCUUCAUCCGGCAUGUAUGUGUUCUUAUCCCUCUGUUAGGGACUGCUUUUGGUGUUAAUGUUGGCAUGCUAUAAUUUCCUUAUAUACCAAACCGCAAGUCCAGAUUGUUGAGCACUACUAGUUGGAUUAUUUUGUGUAUUAGGUUCAUGUUGCAUUGUCUACCUUAUUUAGGAUUAAUUAUAAUAAAAGGUUGCUUCUAUUUUCAAAAAUCAAGAAAAAAAUAUUAUCGGCAAUUUUCAUCAAUUGGCUUCAUGGCCCUCAAACCUUGUGUACAAGAGAGUGUGAGUUACAAGAAACGAUGCAAAAUGACUAUGCUUUGGCCAACAACCAUGAACUGCUUUCAUGCCUCCAAGCGAAAACCUGAAGGCACGCUUACUUCUCAAUAGGAGGAAGCAUUUGAAGUUGUCGACAAACUCUUCAUCAAAGAGAUAGGUGGGAGCAGGCCAAGUUUGCGGUCUCAAAUGUACGUUGUGAUUUGUAUCUCAAGGAGCCGUAUCAUGACUAGAAAUUGAUUGAUGAAUGCUCAGUAAUUGAGCGGGAAAAUGAGAUCUAAUCACUUGCCAAGGAACAUGAGCACUUCUCGUGUGUGUUGUCACGCAAGUUUGUUGUCUGCAACAUUAUUGCCAAGCUUCCUCUCUGAUGGAGAAAUUUUGCCACUCUCUUGAAACACAAGAGACAUGAGUUUUUUGUUGUGAAUCUCACUAUGACUCUUAAUGUUCAAGAAUAGGCGAGGGCAAAAUACACAUGUGCCCUAGCUAAUGAUGGAAAUUCUAGUGCCAAUGUGGUACAAAGGAAUAUAUUUUUGCAGAGUACAAAAAAAUAGUUUGCGGUCCCACAAGUUCAACAAGAACAAAUAUGAGGGCAAGGGCAAGUUUGAAGGAAAGAACACAGGAUCACGGCCUACCAACUUUAGUGAUACUCGUAAGAGAAAAUGAGUAUGCCAUGUGUGAUCCUAGGCAUCGGCCACAUGGUUGGCAACAUCAUGGGAAAAGCGACAAGGCCAUUGAUGUUAUCAUUGACGAUACUAAGAUGAACACAACAAUGUGUGGUAAUUUCCAUAAUGUUGUUUCAAUAUAUCAGUAUGUUGAACGGUGGAUU